Molecule: ribosomal RNA, 468 nt
Filed under: uncultured bacterium
Lineage: Bacteria
Description: partial 16S ribosomal RNA
Rfam family: Bacterial small subunit ribosomal RNA
Source: RNAcentral
GACGAACGCUGGCGGCGUGCUUAACACAUGCAAGUCGAACGGAAAGGCCCUGCUUUUGUGGGGUGCUCGAGUGGCGAACGGGUGAGUAACACGUGAGUAACCUGCCCUUGACUUUGGGAUAACUUCAGGAAACUGGGGCUAAUACCGGAUAGGAGCUCCUGCUGCAUGGUGGGGGUUGGAAAGUUUCGGCGGUUGGGGAUGGACUCGCGGCUUAUCAGCUUGUUGGUGGGGUAGUGGCUUACCAAGGCUUUGACGGGUAGCCGGCCUGGGAGGGUGACCGGCCACAUUGGGACUGAGAUACGGCCCAGACUCGUACGGGAGGCAGCAGUGGGGAAUAUUGCACAGUGGGCGGAAGCCUGAUGCGGCAACGCCGCGUGCGGGAUGACGGCCUUCGGGUUGUAAACCGCUUUCGCCUGAGACGAAGCGUGAGUGACGGUAAUGGGUAAAGAAGCACCGGCUAACUACGUG